AUACACCGCCUCGUGCGCCGU
This 21-nucleotide non-coding RNA is filed under the name Arabidopsis thaliana (thale cress). The record is from RNAcentral. Lineage: Eukaryota; Viridiplantae; Streptophyta; Magnoliopsida; Brassicales; Brassicaceae.